UGAAAAUCGGCAGUGGGUUCCUGAGU
RNAcentral lists this non-coding RNA (26 nucleotides) under Callithrix jacchus (white-tufted-ear marmoset). Lineage: Eukaryota; Metazoa; Chordata; Mammalia; Primates; Cebidae. RNAcentral also lists the same sequence under 1 other name. The record is from RNAcentral.